Long non-coding RNA from Tachysurus fulvidraco (yellow catfish), 2179 nucleotides. RefSeq lists it as uncharacterized. NCBI's taxonomy places the organism in Eukaryota, Metazoa, Chordata, Actinopteri, Siluriformes, Bagridae. The transcript is spliced from 4 exons. The record is from RefSeq and is a predicted model, not a curated record.
CAGUGCAAGUCUGCAAACCAUUCUAAUGCUGACAGAGCAAAUGAAUGGUCUAGUUCUUUAAUACAGACCAGAACCAGCCCAGUGCUUCAAACGGUUCAGAUUCAGCAAUCCAGCAACCCUCUUUAUGAGACCUUCGAAAAUAAAUCCCCAGUCACUCUUAAAUAAAUGAAAAAGGAAAACGAGCAUUCUUGGCCCAUGAGAGGCAAAGCAACAGUCAUGUUUUUGAUUGACCAUAUUGAGAGUCAGUGAUUUGCAGAGUAAAUGAGUGUGGUGAGUGUGGCUUCGCUGUCCGUGUGUGAGAGGGAAAUACCGAGGAGGUGCAGUCAGCCUCUGCCUAAUGCAAGCGAGUGUCUCCAUUCCCAUACCAAGGCUGCAAUUCUGCUGCCCCACAUCCUCUGACGUCACAACCGGCAUCCAUGGAGCCAGUUGUGGUCUUCAACAAGGAAGACUGAUUUUUAAGGGAUAACAAAUUCCUUAGCUGUUCUGCCAGAUGUGUGUGUAGAAACAUCAGCAAAGCUGCUGAGGGCAAAACAAAGCCUUACAGUUCCCAUGAGCACCAGUGACAGAAGACCUUGCAAAGCUGGAAAAUCUAUCACCCUUAAAGCUGGAAUACUAAAGGAGGCCUGCUGGUGUGAAUAAACUUACGCAGUCUUCUCUCCAUUCACUGCUCUCGACUUGUGGCCUGCGGAAACCCUUGUGAAUGACCAGGUUGAUGAAGAGCUAUGAAUAUUGCUAAAGGCAGGGCUCAGGUUCUGAUAUGCCACUCCUCACAAAUAGGAAACCAUUGUCUGGGAUGAAAGGAGCUGAGUAGCGUGACAGGAAAAGCCUUUCCCUGCCAGUCCCAGCUGCUGGUAUUCGCUGGCAGGGAUCUUUGUGGUUCCUUUGCCCAUCAGGGUUCUGGUAAAAUCCAAUCUGACUGUGUCUGCCUGUGUGAAUACCAGCAGUGGAGCGUAGAAGACAGAGACAGACAUAUACAUGCCCAAAUACACACACACUCAAUGGAAAUGAAAGGCCCAGCAAGCUGCAGCAUGCUAUUUCCCGCACUCAUCUACACGAUCGGGUGGGCCUUCUGACAUGCUUACAUUCCUCUGCAGUGGACUGCUGAAUGUGUAUGGAUGGCUGCCACCAAAAUCUGUCUGUGGUUAAAGAUAGAUAAUGGGAGCCAGAUUGUCUGAGCUUGGAGGGAAAUAUAAUAAUUACCAGCAACUCAUUUGGAAUCUUGUUUGACAUUUCAUCUACACAGCUGUGUUUGUGAUUUUUUUUUCACUUGUGAAUAUUGGUCAUGGAACAAUAAAUCAAAGAGUCCUCGUCGGGUGAGAUCGACAUGACGGGCCGUAGCUAAUCAAAGGCUUGGAAGGAGGCCCUGGCAUCUAGAGUGCCAUGGCAAGGGUUCAAGUGUCUGAGUUAUGAUGAACAAGUAUGACAAGCCUGCAUUAUGGCGCCUUAUCUCACUAUGGUAAGACUGAAUGGCAAGUGUCAGUAUAGCAUGUGAGCAUACAGUGAUGGAGGAUACAUGCAGAGUUGCACAUGUAAGAGCUUGGAUUUAAAGCAGCACAGUCACAUGGUGAAUUUGCUGAAAUCAGUGAGCUGUGGAAUGCACAAUUUACUAAAAUUUGCAGCAAAUAAGACCAGAGAGCUGGAGAGAUCAAAUGUUAGGAACAAACGAGUAACUGGUUUUACGCACUUUUUUUGUGUGUGUAUGUUUUCUGUGCUUUUGAAUUUGGAGAGCUUUUGGUUCCAGAUACAGUGACACUUUGCUCCAGAUGUACAGUAUGCACAUGAGAAUGUUUCCCGCCUCGAACCAGGAGUGAUCGAGCUGCGUUUAACAUUAGGAAAUUAGUAAUCUCUAGAAGCUGCAGAAAAUAAACAAAAGAUCGGAAGUCAAGAUUAGUUGAGCUCUGGCUCACACUGCUGCUAAAUUGCACUUCUUUUUGAGGCCAGCAGAGUGUUUCCCACCAGUGCUAUGCUCCCUCUACAGGAGAGUCUAUGGAACUGUGUUUCUUUAUGUUCAAAAAUAGGAAGUGCUUUCCAAACCACUACACUCUCCUCUCCUGACAUCUACAUUACCACUACUUGUUUUCUUUAAUAUGUGUAGUAAGCGCAAUAACAGCCAGGAUGAUUGGACAUGUAAUGAUAGUUGAAGGCAUCAUUGUGGGAGUAAAUCGCUGUCUGUACCAAA